This 429-nucleotide long non-coding RNA is filed under the name Nicotiana benthamiana. Its description in RNAcentral is "long non-coding RNA (NBEN_LNC022879)". The record is from RNAcentral. Lineage: Eukaryota; Viridiplantae; Streptophyta; Magnoliopsida; Solanales; Solanaceae.
UUUGGUAUCAACACCCCCACUCCCACUUUUAUGUUUUUUUAUAUCUUGCAUGAGUGAUUCUAAAAGUCCUAUAUUUUGGGUGCUUGCUUGACUGCCAGAUUCAGCCAUGUAUGAAUCACUGCAACAACAAAAGAAAACGAAUGCGAAUAAAGACAUUGGUUAUUAAAGACAGGUGGAACACAGUCACACACACAAGGAGCUGAAAUGGCUAUUGGACAUAUCGAAUGAGAGCUUGGAUCAUUCAAAAAUUAGAAUAGAUAUCCAUAAAUUAAAGCAAGUAAAGACAGAAAGAAGAGUACCUGGAGAAGUGGAGAGACGAGAUGGCGAGAGGAGGGAGACCGACGACUGCUGGGUACUGCGCUACUGGCUGGGGGCGGCUGCUGCUAAGUGUUAGGGUUUUUGUUCUCAGUCUCAAUGACUGAAUCUUAA